Long non-coding RNA from Eriocheir sinensis (Chinese mitten crab), 1196 nucleotides. RefSeq lists it as uncharacterized. The record is from RefSeq and is a predicted model, not a curated record. The transcript has 4 exons. NCBI's taxonomy places the organism in Eukaryota, Metazoa, Arthropoda, Malacostraca, Decapoda, Varunidae.
CACAAAUUUGGCCCAUCGCUGCUACACAGUAAAGCCACAAAUUUGGCCCGUCGCUGCUACAUGGUUAAGCCACAAAUUUGGCCCAUCGCUGCUACACAGUAAAGCCACAAAUUUGGCCCGUCGUUGCUACACGGUAAAGCCACAAAUUUGGCCCGUCGCUUAUACCGGGAUAUUAAAGAAAAAACUACCCUAAUCUAACCUUUUUGCCUAAUAAAAUAGGUUAAGCAAGCUAACUUUAAGACAGUGACUUUUUAUGUAUUGCCAAAAUAUGAUGCUUGUUAUUAUUUACACACCGUUAUCUUCCAGAAACCACCAAAUGACUGACUUUUCAAUGCCUGAGGUGCACUCGGUGACGUUCCCCGCCCAUCCCUGCAUCAUGACCCACCCGCCCCCCUGGCAUGAUUUGGAUCAGGUCAGACUUGGCGGAGCAGUACACGGAUCAACUGAGGGAUUCCGUGGAGCGCAUCGUCAGCGGAAAGGGUCGGCUGCUGGGGCCGUCCGCAUGCUCGCUGAGACCUCUCCGGACCACCAAGUACAGUGAGCUCAAGAGUCGCAACAUGCACGGACUUGAUCCCCUGGUGGUGUGCUGAGCGGGCUGGUGCAGGAGCCGUCAGUGAGGCAGGCUGUGGAGGGCAAGUCCGGGCUGAGGCUGGAGGAGGAUGGCCUGUCCCUCACAUCCUCUCUGACGGGGAGGAGGUUACGCAGAUGACGCUCUCCAGGGACCAGCUCUAUGCGGUGGAGGCGGUGGCUGAGUGAAUAGCGUGACGGCGCCGCGUUCAGAACGACGUGAGUUCAAUCCCCGCCCGGUGCCACCAAGCUGGGAUUUUUCAGCCGCCGCCGAGUGGCUUAAAACUACCCACAUGCUGUCCAGAAGACCACCCAUCAACCCAGACUCUAGAUUCUAGGAUUAAAGAUGAGCUCCGGGAGGGCAGCAUGAGCCAAUGCAAGAUGGCGCCACUAUAAACACUUGCCUGCGCCAGAACGGGCUGGGCCGACCAUCAGGCCCCACCGGGAAGAAGCCUUGGGCCGACCAUCAGGCCCCACCGGGAAGAAGCCUUGGGCCGACCACCAGGACCCACCGGGAAGAAGCCUUGGGCCGACCAUCAGGACCCACCGGGAAGAAGCCUUGGGCCGACCAUCAGGACCCACCGGGAAGAAGCCUUGGGCCGACCAUCAGGACCCACCGGGAAGAAGCC